RNAcentral lists this unclassified non-coding RNA (286 nucleotides) under Annulohypoxylon sp. RNAcentral's name for it is "partial contains 5.8S ribosomal RNA, internal transcribed spacer 2, and large subunit ribosomal RNA". Lineage: Eukaryota; Fungi; Ascomycota; Sordariomycetes; Xylariales; Hypoxylaceae. The record is from RNAcentral.
CGCACAUUGCGCCCAUUAGUAUUCUAGUGGGCAUGCCUAUUCGAGCGUCAUUUCGACCCUUAAGCCCUGUUGCUUAGCGUUGGGAGACUGCUAAACCCCCUCCGGGGGGUGCAGCUCCUCAAAGUUAGUGGCGGAGCUGCAGCACACUCUGAGCGUAGUAACUUACACUUCUCGCUUCUGUAGUGGGCGCAGCGCCCUGCCGUAAAAAUAAGGACGGCUCACCCGUAGUGGUCCCGUCCUUCUAGUGGUUGACCUCGGAUUAGGUAGGAAUACCCGCUGAACUUAA